This 280-nucleotide ribosomal RNA is filed under the name uncultured bacterium. Its description in RNAcentral is "partial 16S ribosomal RNA". It matches the Rfam family "Bacterial small subunit ribosomal RNA", at positions 521 to 800 of the family's 1533-position model. The record is from RNAcentral.
UAAUACGUAGGGCGCGAGCGUUGUCCGGAAUUAUUGGGCGUAAAGAGCUCGUAGGCGGCCUGUUGCGUCCGCUGUGAAAUCCCAGGGCUUAACCCUGGGUCUGCAGUGGAUACGGGCAGGCUGGAGGCAGGCAGGGGAGAACGGAAUUCCCGGUGUAGCGGUGAAAUGCGCAGAUAUCGGGAGGAACACCGGUGGCGAAGGCGGUUCUCUGGGCCUGUACUGACGCUGAGGAGCGAAAGCGUGGGGAGCGAACAGGAUUAGAUACCCUGGUAGUCCACGC